Long non-coding RNA from Acinonyx jubatus (cheetah), 6720 nucleotides. RefSeq lists it as uncharacterized. The transcript is spliced from 6 exons. The record is from RefSeq and is a predicted model, not a curated record. NCBI's taxonomy places the organism in Eukaryota, Metazoa, Chordata, Mammalia, Carnivora, Felidae.
CUGUUGUUGAUAGUGCUGCUAUAAACAUGGGGGUGCAUGUGCCCCUGUGAACCAGCACACCUGUAUCCCUUUGAUAAAUAGUAGUGCAAUUGCUGGGUCGUAGGGUAGUUCUAUUUUAAUCUUUUGAGGAAUCUCCAUACCGUGGAAACUUUUUAUUUAAAUUCUUUGGCUUGGGGUGCCUGGGUGGCUCAGUGGGUUAAGCAUCCGACUUUGGCUCAGGUCAUGAUCUUACGGUUAGUGGGUUUGAGCCCCGUGUCAGGCUCUGUGCCGAUAGCUCGGAGCUGGGAGCCUGCUUCAGAUUCUGUGUCUCUCUCUCUGCGCCUCUCCUGCUUGUGCAUGCUCUCUCUCACAAAAAUAAACAUAAAAAAAGUUAAAAAAAAUUCUUUUGCUCAUAAAAUUAAGGGGGAAAAUGCUUAAUAUGAUUUCUAUAUAUCUUUCUAAAAUCAGUGUAGAAAUCCUGACCCACUCAUGAAUAGCUGUCCUUAGGAGGAUAUUCGAAAUGAUCACUGUAGUAGCUGAUAUUAAUAAGCCAUUAGCUUUUCUUUAUAAAAGUAGAGUGGUUGCACUAGAUUCAUUUGGGGCCAAAGCAGGUAGUUAAAUAAAAGCUUCCCAAGCUUUUCGCAUGGAUGGCAACUAAGCUGUUCAGUAUUGCUAGAGAUACAGCAGAAAUGGGAAACAUUAGUCAUAUCCUCCUGUUCCUUACUCCCACCCUUACCGCUGCCCAUCACAGUAUCAUCACAGGCGCAUUAGUCAUGCUGAGAAAAUGUAGUUUCUAGGCCCUGGUUUUGGACUGGAUUCAUUGGGCGGGGUGAGGUGGGGCUUCCUGAAUAAUCAACUAAAGCCUCUUUGUCAUUCCUUUAAAAGAACUGGAAUAUUUCCUGAGAAUGGAAAAACAGAUAGAUACGACUCAUAAUCUAACGAAAAAUGCUACCAACCCAGAAAAUGGAGACUGUUUUGUGGUCCUCUGGGAGGCAUCUAAAGGCUUGGUAAAAAGAAACACUAACAACAGAGGGUGGAGAACUUAGCCAUUACUGAACUGGUGGAUCUCCAAAGGGAUAGACCCAACUGUUGGUCUUGGCUGUUUCCAUGGAGAAGCAGAAGUCUCCAUAUUUAAAGAUGGGUUUCCCAACCAGGAAAAUACAACUCAAUUAGGUGCCAGGGACACUGCACUGCACAAGACAGACAAGCUUCCUGCUCUUGGGGAAUUUAUAUUCUAGGUAAGUAACACAGGAUAAACACAAAGAUUAAAAAUAAAGGGAAUAUUUUCAGAUAGUGGUAAACAUAGUGAAGAAAACACAACAGGUUCAAGCUUGGUGGAGUGUUACUCUAUCCCGGGAAGUCGAGUGAAGGUAAAGUCUCCUGGGUCAGAUGAGAAGGAGCCAGCCACAGACAGCCUGGGGAAAGAUUUUUCCAGAAAGUUGCAAAAGACCUGAGGUGGAAAUGAGCUGGCAGCUGGCAGGAACAAACUUGGCCUGAGAGUGGUACAGCAGGCAUUUAGAGGGAGGUGGGGAGCCAGAUCAUGGAAGGCCUUGAAUGAGUGUGAUGUGUUUGGCUUAAAUUCUAAAUAUAGCAGGAAACCAACAGAAGAGUUCUAAGUAGGGGCAUGAUAAGAUCUGAAUUGCAUUUUUAAAACUUCCUUCAAGCUUCUGUCUGGUGAAUAGAUGAAAAGGGAAUUGAGAGGCCAUUUAGAAGUGUCUGCACAAGACCUGAAGUGCCCAUAAGGCGUCAGGGACACCGGACUGGAGAGGCAGCAGGGAGGAUGCCCUGUGAAAUCUGGGUUUCCCACUAAGCCACAAGCCUGUGGUUAUCCUGAGCAGCUGCAGCGUGAUAAAGCAUUGUGGGAAUCGGGGAGAUUCCACUGUGAGCAAGUGGUAGGAGAGUGAUCCCACACUGUGAUUUGGUCCGAAGCUUCUCCGUGCCUCGGAAGGCAGAAAAGCUUUAAUUUUCCAAAGAGCAGUUUGUUCCACUUUUCUGCCCUUCUCUAGAUUCCAGAAGUUGCAAGAGCAGUAUUUGUGACCCCAGCAUUUGAGUUUCUAUAAGGUAUGAAUGGCCAAACUCACUUAGCAGAGAGGCACGAUUAAUGGCAAGAGGCAGCUAUGUCCUUCAGCAGGAUCCAUUCUGCCAGUCUUGGAGACUCGUUUCUACCUUGGCAUUCUUCUGGACAAUUACUCUCUCUCUCACUACAAAAGUAAGUAUUUGGGGGGGGGGGUUUGGGCAGGAAAUCACAGCUGUAUUAAAACUUUCAUUAAGUAAAAUAAAAUGUCGAGGAGGAGAGGUAAUGGAGAAAUGAAGGGGGGAAAAAAACCCCACCUCCUAACCUUAUUUUAAUCAAAAACUUGGCUUUGGCCUCCUUUCUAACUAAACACUCUCAUAUAUUGAUUCAAAAUGAGUGUCAGUUGUUAAUACACGUAAACCAGUUCAAAAGACCAGAAGUGAGUGGAAGAAUCCUAGAAAAUUUACAGUGGGUUCUGCCUACUGGUAACUGAAGAUUCUGACUUACUAAAGUUUUUCUAAUACACUCGAAUUUACCAAUUAAAACAAUUCUUGGAAAUUGUUUUAAUUAUUUGUUUUGAGGGAGGAGUAGAGAGAGAGGGAGGGAGAGAGAAUCCCAAGCAGGCUCCACACCAUCAGCACGGAGCCUGCCUUGGGGCUCGAACCUAUGAAUCAGGAGAUCAUGGUGACCUGAACUGAAACCAAGGAUCGGGCACUCUGACUGAGCCACCCAGGCACCCCAAAACAACUUUUUUUCCCCUAAUACUGAAGACAUCAGCAGAGUUAAGAUGUUCUAAAUGUAACCUCUCAUCUACUCCUAUUAACCUAUGGUGUGCAAAGCAUAUCCUUUUUAAAUUUUGAGGUAGCUGAUUGAAAAAAAAUGUGUGUGUGUGUAGUAACUAUUUAAGAGACAUUGUAAAUGAACUCUGUUCUGCAAGUAAAACACAUGAGGAGAAGCAAUCUUUAGUGAGAGGCAGGAAAUUUAAAAAAAAAAACAGACUUAUUCCCAUUUUUUAAAACUUCAAGUGCUCUGGAUUAUUCUGACUUAAAAGAGGGAACAUUUACUGCUGAUCACCAUGUGUUCUGUUCAUGCCCUGAAUUCGUGGGGGAGAUCACAACUUUGUCACACGGAGCAGAAGAGAAACAGUUGUUGGAGUUUGACACAUUUUCCAAUAGAAGAAAAAUCCAGUUGCCAACUACAUAUGGGUUCAUUUUGGGUUCCUGGAACUGAUAACACAUCAGCAUGUCUUACGAAACUUGUGCAUGGCAUGUUAUUGCAGCUGUAUAUCAUCAGAGAGAAAAAAAAUAAUUGGUUUUCCUUAGAGUAUCUCGAAGUUGAUGUCAUAUUCAAUAACCCUGUAGUUGAAAAAUCUAUAUAUGAUGGAUGAAGUUUGGACUAUCUUGAAUUUAAUUCCUCCUGUGCCAGCUUCUACAGGCCCUGGUCUACCUGUCAUUUUGGGCCGACGAACACACGUGGUUACAGAAGAGCAAACCUCCCCACCUUGGUUUAUGCAUCCCUAAUUUGAAAUGGUCGUGUCUAUGAGGAUGGAAAGAGGAGUCCUGGGAAAUAUCUUUGAGACCGAAUAUGGCAGCAUGUGCUCUAACCACAAACAGUGUUCUCCUACAUGGUCGCCGCCAGUGACUCUGGAGGGGACACGCCUCUCUGCAAGGCUUCAACAGCAAUGCAGGAGGCAUGGGUCCAACAGAGACCCGAGGCUUGGCAGUGCUUCAGCCUCCGGGCAUCACUGUGGGUUCUGCCCAGGGAACAUAGGGCGCUGUUCUUUUGACUCCUUCGGCAGAGAGAGAAGAACUGUUCUGGGAAGAGUACAGGACCGAAUGAAACCGAUCAGGCAGGCUCCAAGAAGUGCCUGGAUGUUGUAAUAACUUGGGUGUCAAGAACCCGCUAAAGGGGAACUAUCAUUUCCAUGAUAGAGCAAGGGGUGUCUAAGCCUACUGAGAGCCUUGGGGCCACAACAUCACUGGGGAAGCGGACCAACCCGUGGCCACUCAAAAGCGGUACUAAUGACCAAGUGCCCUGGAGCCCAAGCCAGCCUCCGGCAUGGGCUUCUGCACAACAAAAGACAGAAUGGCAAGAGAGCAAAAGUGAUGGGGACAGGGUAAGGAAGGGAACCCCCACUUUUGAAGCAGUGAACGGCAUUGGGGAGGGACAGGACUGGGGACCUGGAACUCCUCUGUCCUUGGACACAGAAAAAAAAAGCCAUGGUUUAAAAGAGCGCCGAGCUAGCUCAGUCCAUUAGCGUCCGACUCUUGAUUUCAGCUUAGGUCAUGAUCUCACAGUUUGGAAGUUCAAGCCCCAUGUGGGGCUCUGCGCGGUGUCAGUGUGGAGCCUGCUCGGAAUUUUCUCUCCCACUCUCUCUGCCCCACUCAUGCCUUCUGUCUCUCAAAAUAAACAAACCUAAAAAAAGAUUUUUUAAAAAAGAGUGACCAGCAUCCCUAAGAGCCAGCCCUUCGAGCUCCACCAAAUGGCAGAAGAGCUGUGGGGACACUCUCUGGGUCACAGGGACUGGAGAACAACACGGUUUACGCAUAGACCAGAGGUAGGUCUGUACCCUCAGGUCCUCCAGGCAAACAUCAGCCCUGGAUGCACUUGGGCACACACACAAAGCCGCAGUUUAAAAGAGUAGCUGGCAUGAAAAACAGCCCGCUCUAGAAUUCUGCUAAUGGUAGGGGUAGCUGUGGGAGGGCUCUCCGGGUGGGAGGGGCUGAUACACAGUCUCCGCUCACUACCCCUCCCACACACUUUGAAAGCACAGAGUGAUGUCCUGGCCUGCUGCCUCAGUGAGCCCUGGACCCCUAGCCCACACCCCUACCAGCCAGCCCACCAAGGCGGCCACAGGGCACGCACACUGGGAUAUCCUUAGUUAGCACUCACUACAGCUCCAGCCUUCGUGCUAAGAUCACAGUCACAAGGCCCCCCCAGAAUGCUCAUGGCCCACACCACUUUGGCUUCAGAUGGCUGGCUAGGGCACCCCCCCCCCCCCCCCCCCCCCGUGGAGAACACUCCAGAAUGUUUUGGCUGCCAUGUGCUUGAGAUCCAGUUGCCCUGCCAGGGUGGCCCAAACCCCAGUCCAUGCCUGCAUCAGUUCCAGUCAUCCCAUCAGGGCGGCCCCUGUGCAGAGCACCCCAACACUCCUUUGCCCACAUUGGCCUUGGCUUUGGUUGCCGACCAGGGAACCCCCUGCAUGGAGUACCCAGAGACACCUCAAAUCGCACCAAAUUCAGUGAAAGCUGUCCUGCCAGGGCGCCCUCUGCACAGAACACCCCAGAACCUCCUGGCCUGUACCCCACCUCAACGCCAUCUCCUCCUUCGGGGCAUCCUCUGCCGAGAGUCCCAAAACAUCCCGGUUUACAUCCACUUCAGCUUCAGCCAUCCUGCCAACAUGCCCCCUGGGCUUCGAGCCCCAGGUCCCCCUGGUUUGCAUCCACUUUAGUUCCAGCUACACUGUCAAGGAAGGCUCUGUGCAGAAAACUCUGGGAACUCCCGGCACCCACACUGCCUUAGCUCCAGCCACGCUGCUAGGGCACCCCUUGCACAAGGUGCCCCGGACAGUCCGGGUCACAACCAUUUCAGCUGUCUUGCCAGGUGCCCUCAGCGCACAGAAUCCGAGGACACCCUGGCCCGCAUCCGCUUCAGCUGUCCAGACAUGGCACUCUCUGUGUGGAAAGCCCUGGGGUCCCCAGCCCAUGCCCGUCACAGCUCAAGCCAGCCAGCAGAGAUCGCCAAGCACACACCAUCUACCUGGAGGAUGACCAUAUACAGGAUAAUUCCUUCAGGUUUAGGAGAAGUAACUGUUACAUCUAAUCCACAGAAACAAACACAGAAUGUUAAGCAAAACAGGGAGACAGAGGAAUAUGCUCCAAAAUAAAGAACAAGACAAACCCUCAGAAAAAGAACUACAUGAAAUGGAGACAGGCAAUAUGCUUGAUAAAGAAUUUAAAGUAAUGAUCAUAAAAAUGCUCACUGGGCUGGCGAGAAGAGUGCAAGAAUUCAGUGGGGCCUUCAAUAAAGAGAUAGAAAACGUAAAAAACAACCAAUCAGAAUUGAAUACAAUCACUAAAAUAAAAAACCACAGUAGAGGGAAUCAAUGGUAGAUUAGCAGAUGCGGAAGAAUACGUCAGCGAUCUGGGAGGUAGGGUACUGGAAUGCACACAAGCUGAAAAGCAAAACAGAAACGAAUUAAAAAAACGAAGGCAGGUUAAGGGAUCUUUUGGACAACACUCAGCAAACAAACAUUUGCAUUAUUGGGGUCCCUGAAGGAGAGAGAGAAAGGGGUAGAAAAUUUAUAUGAAGAAAUAAUAGCUGAAAACUUCCCUAACCUCGGGAAGGAAACAGACAUCUAGGUCCAAGAAGCACAGGACAUUUCAAACAAGAUGAACUCAAGGAGGUCCACACCAUGACACAUAAUAAUUAAAAUGUCAAAGGCUAAAGAUAAAGAGAAUUUUAAAAGCAAGAGAGAAGCAAAAAAUUUCCUAGGAAGGAAAUAAAGCCCUAUAAAGUCCUAUGAGACUGUCAGUUGGGGCGCCUGGGUAGCUCAGUUGGGUAAGCGUCCAACUUCAGCUCAGAUCAUCGUCUCAUGGUUUGUGGGUUCGAGCCUUGUGUUGGGGUCUGUGCUGACAGCUCAGAGCCUGGAGCCUGCUUCUGAUUCUGUGCCUCCCUCUGUCUCUGCCCCUCCCUCACUCAUACUCAGUCUCUCUCUCUCUCUCAAA